GAUGAACGCUGGCGGCGUGCUUAACACAUGCAAGUCGAACGGUGAAGACCAGCUUGCUGGGUGGCUUAGGGGCGAACGGGUGCGUAACACAUGAGUAACCUGCCCUUAACCCUGUGAUAAGCCUGGAAAACUGGGUCUAAUACCGGAAAGGCGCGUCCACCGCACGGUGGGCGUUGGACAGCGUUAUCGGUUUUGGAUGGACUCGCGGCCUGUCAGCUUGUUGGUGCGGUAAUGGGUCACCAAGGCGACGACGGGUAGCCGGCCUGAGAGGGUGACCGGCCACACUGGGACUGAGACACGGCCCAGACUCCUACGGGAGGCAGCAGUGGGGAAUAUUGCACAAUGGGCGCAAGCCUGAUGCAGCGACGCCGCGUGAGGGAUGACGGCCUUCGGGUUGUAAACCUCUUUCAGUAGGGAAGAAGCGAAAGUGACGGUACCUGCAGAAGAAGCACCGGCUAACUACGUG
RNAcentral lists this ribosomal RNA (466 nucleotides) under uncultured bacterium. Its description in RNAcentral is "partial 16S ribosomal RNA". It matches the Rfam family "Bacterial small subunit ribosomal RNA", at positions 28 to 507 of the family's 1533-position model. The record is from RNAcentral.